CCCUUAGAUGUUCUGGGCGGCCCGCGCACUACACUGGCACUCUCAAUCAGAGCCUGGAUCUAACACUUUGGGGUAUUCUAUGAAGUGGUGUCGUGACUGGGAUUAACCCUUGCAAUUAUUGGUUACGAACGAGGAAUUCCUUGUAAUCGCGGUUUAUCAGCCCGCGUUGAAUGCGUCCCUGCCCUUUGUACACACCGCCCGUCGCUCCUACCGAUGGAUCGUCCGGUGAAGCUCAUGGAGGGGCGGUUGUCUCAGCCGCCGUCGAAGUGAAAUGGACCUCACGAUCUAGAGGAAGGAGAAGUCGUAACA
RNAcentral lists this ribosomal RNA (309 nucleotides) under uncultured eukaryote. Its description in RNAcentral is "partial 18S ribosomal RNA". It matches the Rfam family "Eukaryotic small subunit ribosomal RNA", at positions 1470 to 1796 of the family's 1831-position model. The record is from RNAcentral.